AACGCAAAUUGCGCUCUCUGGUAUUCCGGAGAGCAUGCUUGUUUGAGUAUCAGUAAACACCUCAAAUCCUGGAUUGUUUUUCAGAAUUUGGAUUUGAGUGAUCCCAACACAAACCUUUUCGAAAGGUGUGGCGGGUCGCUUGAAAUGCAGGUGCAGCUGGACUAUUCUUCUGAGCUAUAAGCAUAUUUAUUUAGUCCCGUAAAACGGAUUAUUACUUUUUGCUGCAGCUAACAUAAAGGUUGAUUUGUCCUAAAUGCUGACUGAUGCAGGAAUUUUACAGUUUUGUUGUAGGCGCACAGGCAAUUACACCAACUGUCAAACUCGAUCUCAAAUCAAGUAAGACUACCCGCUGAACUUAA
Molecule: unclassified non-coding RNA, 359 nt
Filed under: uncultured fungus
Lineage: Eukaryota; Fungi
Description: sequence contains ITS2
Rfam family: 5.8S ribosomal RNA (bases 1-52)
Source: RNAcentral